UUCCAAUGUUCUUUGCUUGUU
Non-coding RNA from Caenorhabditis elegans, 21 nucleotides. The record is from Ensembl. NCBI's taxonomy places the organism in Eukaryota, Metazoa, Nematoda, Chromadorea, Rhabditida, Rhabditidae.